UCUUUUUUUUUUGGCAGUAUUUAGCUACACGCAUUUCAUCACACAUUUUCUGAGCGCGGUGGGCGUGUCGACGAGCUGACGUCACGCGUCACGUGCUCUUGCGGCAGCAAGGGACUGUAUCUGGACGCGAACACAAACCGAGCGAUGAGUUCAGUAAUCCCAGAGACACAGAGGCCGUGUAUCACAACCUCAAACCCGCGCUCUCAGACAGCAGCUGGAGAACCUCAGCGUCCGGUCGGAGAGAGUCGAGGUCUGGGCUUCAGCUGCUCCAGAGGUCCUGGAGAAGAGCCGACUCGGGAUAUUUGCCCCAAACAAGGAGAGUUCAUGCUCAGUUCUACAUGUUCACAUGAAUCUGAGCCCUAUCUCUGCCCAGUCUGACCCUGGGAAAACCUUCAGAAGAGUUCUUAUAAACAUUUGAUAUUCGAGAAGAUGAGAGCCUUCAUUCAUGUCAGAUCAGUGAACAGAUUCUUAAAACAAAGGUUUUUCAUGAAAGCAUCAAUGCCAAUGGAGAAGAGUGUAGAGUCUGACAAUUCCUCGUAAUGAAUCAAUCAAAAAGACUCAAACAGUCCCGAACUCACAUUUUGAAUUGGUCUAAUCAAUCACUACAGUGUGAACUGACGGAUAAAUGACUCUCUGAAUGAUUCCUUGAACUGAAUCGGUCAAAAGACUCACAAACAACACAGACUCACGGACUAAUGACUCUACACUCCUAAAAAUACAGGUUCCUAAAGGGAGUUUUCACAGUGAUCUCAAUCUGCAGAUGGCUUCAUCGGCUCGGAGCGGACUGUAGGCGCCGCAUGCUGUCCUCAGUCUGGGGCUCGGGACGGAGGACGACACCGAGCGUCUGCAGGACGUGUUUGUGGAGUUCAGUCAUCAGGAUCUGCUGGACUUCUACAAUCAGAUGGAGAUGAUUCAGACUCAGCUGACACGGCUCUGUCUGCUAUCCCAUGAUUCCUCCGCUGACGUCUGUGGCUGUUUCUGGAUGUGUGUAUUUCAGACUGACGCUCUGGAGUGCUGGAAGGUGAAGUGUUAAUGAACCGAA
Long non-coding RNA from Cyprinus carpio (common carp), 1042 nucleotides. RefSeq lists it as uncharacterized. NCBI's taxonomy places the organism in Eukaryota, Metazoa, Chordata, Actinopteri, Cypriniformes, Cyprinidae. The record is from RefSeq and is a predicted model, not a curated record. The transcript has 5 exons.